UCAGACUGCAGGCUGCAACUCGCCUGCACGAAGUCGGAAUUGCUAGUAAUCGUAGGUCAGCAUACUACGGUGAAUACGUUCCCGGGCCUUGUACACACCGCCCGUCAAACCAUGAGAGUUGGCAACACCCGAAGUCGGUAGUCUAACCGCAAGGAGGACGCCGCCGAAGGUGGGGUUGAUGAUUAGGGUUAAGUCGUAACAAGGUAGC
RNAcentral lists this ribosomal RNA (208 nucleotides) under uncultured bacterium. RNAcentral's name for it is "partial 16S ribosomal RNA". It matches the Rfam family "Bacterial small subunit ribosomal RNA", at positions 1293 to 1500 of the family's 1533-position model. The record is from RNAcentral.